This 417-nucleotide unclassified non-coding RNA is filed under the name Hevea brasiliensis (rubber tree). Lineage: Eukaryota; Viridiplantae; Streptophyta; Magnoliopsida; Malpighiales; Euphorbiaceae. The record is from RNAcentral.
UAUCCAUUCUCAUUGUCUAGCUUUUAGCUUACCACAGUCCUUUUAGAUUGACUUUAUAAAUCUCAUAUCUGAAAUCUAGGCACAUCCCUUUCAACUUUUCCUUUUGCAAUUUCAAAACAACUGAGAGGUUUUUCGGACACUGUUUUUCAUCAAACAUAGUUAUGAAGGGGUAGUUGUGUUCGGCAAUGAUACCAACUUGUAUACAAUUGAUUAUAGCUGUCUCCAAACAUAAGAUUGCGUGGCAAGAGGCAAUGAUGAUAGACUGAUUACAGUGUGCUAAUGAAACUAUAGAAGCGGAUUCGAGUUAAUAAACUUAGUACAGGUACUAAGCAACUAACCAAUGACAUGAGAAGUGCUUGAGUUGAUAAAUUUUCAACCUGAGCUUAAUAGAUGCACUUUUCAUUGAGGCGUUUUAUG